AUAUAAAUAAGCGGAGGAAAAGAAACUAACAAGGAUUCCCCUAGUAACGGCGAGUGAAGCGGGAAGAGCUCAAAUUUAAAAUCUCUGACCUCGGGUCAGCGAAUUGUAGUUUAGAGAGACGUUCUCGGUGUCGGCCCCGGCCUAAGUUCCUUGGAACAGGAUGUCAUAGAGGGUGAGAACCCCGUCUGUGGCUGGGUGUCCGUAUGCCAUACGUGGCGUUCUCAACGAGUCGAGUUGUUUGGGAUUGCAGCUCUAAGUGGGUGGUAAAUUUCAUCUAAAGCUAAAUACUGGCGAGAGACCGAUAGCGCACAAGUA
RNAcentral lists this ribosomal RNA (315 nucleotides) under uncultured eukaryote. RNAcentral's name for it is "partial large subunit ribosomal RNA". It matches the Rfam family "Eukaryotic large subunit ribosomal RNA", at positions 40 to 350 of the family's 3401-position model. The record is from RNAcentral.